AAGAGAUGAAGGGAAAAUGAAAGGAAAAGGGAAGAAGGUUGAAACCUGAGAAGAUGAUGGCAAUGCAAAGACAAAGAGGUCUUCAGGGUACUUGGGCUACAAUUUGAUAAGAUAAGCACAUGCAUAACUAAAGUGGCUAAAUUGGCAGCAGAUUUUACAUGUCAACUUAACGUUUUCCAAUGCAGAAGUUCUCCAGUAAGAAACUGGUGACGUGCAUAACUGACACAGUCCAGAGUUCAUGACUAGAAGACAAUAAUCAUUUU
RNAcentral lists this long non-coding RNA (263 nucleotides) under Crocodylus porosus (Australian saltwater crocodile). Its description in RNAcentral is "lncRNA (ENSCPRG00005014317.1)". The record is from RNAcentral. Lineage: Eukaryota; Metazoa; Chordata; Crocodylia; Crocodylidae.